RNAcentral lists this long non-coding RNA (11804 nucleotides) under Centruroides sculpturatus (bark scorpion). Its description in RNAcentral is "uncharacterized LOC111641930". Lineage: Eukaryota; Metazoa; Arthropoda; Arachnida; Scorpiones; Buthidae. The record is from RNAcentral.
CCCGACAGUUCCCUUGUGAGUUGUCCAAUCUGUUAACCUUGUUUACCCCUCGGGCUACAGAUUUUCUUUUGUCUUAGAUAUGAGUCACCAGGCACACCCUAAUGUUUAGGGCAAACAGGAACAUUCCAGAAAGAAGAGACAAAGAACAAAGAAAAAUAUGGCUACCGAAAAUAUAAUACCAAUGCCACGAUAUCAUACCUUUUUAGCUGAGAGCCUUUUUAGCUCCUUCAAAAAACGUAUUUUGGGUACUAGAGAGCCCACCGGUACACUUGGCCCGCCAGACGAAGCCACCAGUUUAUCGCCUCUUUUUUUCUUUUUCUUUUAAUUUUUGACAGCGGUAAAUAUAUCCGAACUUCUCCGAUGAAUCCAAUUUUUUUUCCAUCGCGCCUGAAAAAUACGAUCAAUUGAAUUAGCUAACAGAUAUUCACGUAAGACACUCCUGGCACAUGAGAAAUGAAGGAAAAGGAAAACUUACCUCCACAUUGAGGACAAGGCGGAAUAAAACCGGAUAAGUCCGGAUGUGGAACCAUUCCCACCAGAUGGCAGAAUUUUUGGGCUGCAUCUUCAGUGGGAAUAUGUUGCGAAAACGUAAAACAGGUCAAGUCUUCAAAAAUUUCCGAUGGAUUGACAUCGGAGCUCUCAGAAGCAGGUUCCAUAUUGAACGGCAUUUUCAAAUAAAGUGACGAACAGAACAAACAAUGUUGCCAGAUCAGAAAGUCAAAAAGUACCAAAGUUGUGCUUCAAAAGUAGCCAGUUUGGGCUAUCUGUAGCCCAAACAUAAAAAUGAAUUACUGUAUUUUGCAACUUUAGCAAUGAAAUUCUUAGAGCUAGCAUUAGGAAAAAAUCUGAUAUUUUAAAUUUUUUCAGAGAUAUUUCCAAUUGGUGUCUACUUGACCAAUCAGAUUGUGCAAUUUCGUACCUUCCGAGUAUCGCGAUUAACGUGACAAUGGUAGGUUAAAAUAAUCAAGCUAUUUACAUUGAUAUAUUUUUCGUUUUAGUGUUUCUUAUACAUAUGAGCAUUGCGUGUAUCUGUAUCAAUUUUCUAUCUUGUCAAAGCGAGUCAUUUGUGGGUCCUUAAUUGCCUAAGCCUAUUAUUGGUUUGGCCAGGCCCACAAUGGAGAGAUCGGGUUGGUGAGGGAUGGAGCCUGACAUAUCCAAAUGGACCAUCUCCCGAAAAAUUCAUAAAGAUUUUUCAACUCGAUUCUGGAUCCCCCAGAGUGGAGGCUGCCACCUUGGGUUCAUUCGUUAAUUAAUAGCGGUUGCUUGCAUCUUCACUACUGCAUGAGUGCACUGCUGUUCGGCAAUUAGGAAUGAAGGUGAAAGAAAGAAAGAUGUCGGCGCCUGUACUAUCAUAACAGAAGGAUCUAUGAUUUUAAAAUAUGCAUUUUUAAAGACCAAAGAAGAGUUUUGAUUGUAAAAUAUAACCAUGAAAUGGAUUAUUUUGCUGACAGAGCAUUCAAAGUAGCAGGAAAAAAAAAUUAAAAUGCCGGGUACCAUUCGAGAAGAUACAUCACCACUUGUACAUAUAUAACUUCUAAAAUUUCAUUCAUAAAACCACAUAAUGGACCCCAAAAUGAAACUGUUUGAGCUAUGGAGAACGCCAUGUUGCUUUCCACCGUAAACUACUGCUACAAGCGGCCGUUUUUGCCGUCCGACAGCGCGCAUUCUGACUGGAAUUUAGGAACACGUUCGGCAGGAAUUUUUAAUUUAAACGGGUGCCGCUCACACGGAGAAAUAUAAAAAAAAAAUACACUCCUUGACCACUCGGCCAUUCGACCGUCCGAUAGUAUAUGUUAGGUAGGGUAAGCAUAAAAUUUAAUGCAAAUUGUACACAGAAAAUAAUAUUUUUGUCUAUUUUCCACUAAGUUUCAUUCGUUCUUGCAUUGCACACAUAUUUGUUUAUCUAAAAUCAAUCCUUCGUGUUGCAAAAAAGCUACCAAAACUAUUUCGUGAUAACAAAUAUCAAUAGCAGUAUACAUCGCUCUUUGAAUACAAACGAAAACGAAAAAAUUAUGAGUCUCUUAAUCUGCGUACAAAUGACUUGCUUUGGUGCGAGAGAGAAAAUUGGUAGGUAGUUCGCAUUUACCUAUGUAUAUGUAUUUACGUUCAUAUUCCGCCAGUAAUUUUCGAUCAAUAUAAAGUAUCAAUUUAAUAAAUGCACGAUUAGUUCUCCCAAACAAAAUCACAUGUGGCGAUGAGCGCUCAGCAAUAAAAUUAAUCUAUACUUUUUAUUUAACACACUAAUAAUUUCAUAUAUCAUAAAAUGAAUUAAUACGCAUCUUCCUUUUCGGCUGGUUCUUUGUGAUAGAUUGACAAAUAAAUACGAAAAAAACGGAAUAUUGAGCAAACCUUCAUAAUUUCUACAUGUAAAGUUUAAAUUAAAAUGCGUUUUUCUACUUUGUAAAUGAAAUUGAUUUUAUCUAUUUUAUGAUGAUAUAACAACAAUAGUUUUUUAAAGAUUAGUUUUAGUAACUUCUAUGUAGGUGAUUUAUAUAUAAGUAAAUUAAUUCCUAUUGUCAAACCAUUUUUUUCCAUGUAUUAAUUUAAAAUUAAGAUUUUGUAAUGUUUUAGGAUUACGUGUUAAGUUACAUUAUGUUUAACACAUUCUUUUGGUUUAUUCUGUUUAUUUACCACAUGUAAAGUUUUCUUAACAGUUUUAUUUGAUUUCUUUUUAAUAAACAAUUCUUUCUUUAAUUAAUUUACUCUCAGUAGUGAAGUUUUUAUUACUAGCACAGAUGACAAUACUGUUAUUACAAGUUGCAACAGGACGUGCGGCUCCUGGCAUUUGAAAGUAAUAAUUUUUUUGGUUAUAAAUGUAAUCAAGAUAUAAUAUUCUGAAGUGGAAAUAUACAGUAUUAACAUUUCUUACAUAAAAAUUACUAUUUAAUUAAAAUUAACUAUUACUUUUUACUAUUUAUUAAAUUAUUACAUAAAAAGUAUCUAUACUAUAUAUAAACAAUUUAUAUUAGAGGUUGAGGCACACGUAUUUAGCCCAAAACGUGUACGGGUAACGGGUGAGCGCCGCCAUCUGGCAGUUCUGGACCGUCGAUAAUGGCGUUUGCUACGUGUAGCUUGGUGAGUACACGAUCGGCUUAAACGUCUUCAUUUUUUUUCUGUUUGGGGUUAAAAUUAUGAUUUAUUUUAUUAAAAUAACGAUUAUUUAAGCAUUUAUAGUCACUACUUCUCUUAACAGAAGUAUGUCGUGAAAGCAAGAAAACCGCAUUUGAACUUUCCUUUUUCUCGGAGUUAACACGACGCUAAUUAUAGUAAAAAAAAAUAAUUAUUUAGUGUUAUUAAACAUCAUAUAAAUACUUUUAAACAGUUUAAUUUGUUUAUUUACCUUUCCUGGCAAAAUGCUUCCGCCAUUUUUUUCAACUUAUUUCCCGUGAGUCAAUGCGCGAUGUUCAUUGAGUCACGUGAUGUUAUGAACAGGUGCCUCAACAAUUUUUACUUGGAUUUGAAACAUGUAACGUGUAUUUCUGCUACCCGUACACGUUUAAUGUUUGAACUUGUGCCUCAACCUCUCUAUUUUCCAUUUUACAUACAAUUAUGUAUAUUUUAAAAAGUUAUAUAAAUUAAUAAUAAAGAUUAAUUUUUUUACACCAUGCAAGACACCCUAGGUACAGAAGUGGAGUCACAUGACUGGAAAUGAUGUGCGUAUAGUUGAUUGUGAUACAUAGUUAAAAGCGAGUCUUCGCUGAGCAAGGCGGAGUCACGCGCAGCCUGAUUAUAAAAUACCAGCGAAUCGUAUAUUAUCUACAGAUCAAAAAUAUAUACAUACUUCAGUUUAAAAAUGGAACACAUGUUUAUUCAUUACAAUGGGCAAAGAAGAUGCAUGGGGUUCACAGAUUUAGUUCACAGUACGGAGUGUACUAUACAGUAGAGGGUACAAUUUUUAAAUUUGUAAUCUAUGUUGUAUCAGUGUUUAUUUUUAUAUAAUUCAAUAUGUAUCAAUGCUUUACAUUAAAUUCCUUACAAAUUAAAUUUUAUAUCUCAAAAUGUAUCUAACCUAUAUUACUAAUAGCAAUCAAAACAUAUGGCCAUGCAAGAAUCACGCCUGAUUUUUCUGUUUGACAGAAUUUCACAUGGUGAUUCAUUGUUGCCAACAUUACACAACCAUUAAUAGGAGCUGACUUUUUAUCCUAUUAUGGACUUCCAGACCUUUGCAACAAAUGUCUCAUUGACUCAACCACAACUGUUAAGCUGCAAACAUAUUCGCAGCGUCACGACGUUGUCUGUUCAGACUAUUGCCAGCAACUCUACAUACCACUGACUACUGAGCGAGUUUCGCGAAACAAUACAUUCAUCUCCAACCAUUGCACCCGUACAUCACAUCAUCAGAACACCUGGAUAUCCAGUACCCUGGUGACUUGCACCAGACAAGUACAUACUGGCUUAGUGCAAAUUUGAGUUUAUGCUAUCUCAAGGAAUCUGCCGACCGUACACUAGCAAAUGGUCAUCACCAUUACACCUUGUUCCAAAGAAAGACAACCAGUGGCGGCAACUACCGUCUACUUAAUGCACGGACCAUUCCUGACCGUUAUCCUGUUCAUCACAUAGAGAAUAUCGCAUCUACUCUCCAUGGUUGUCAAUGUUUCUUAUCUGUCCACUUCGUCCAUGUGUUUCACCAUAUUCCUAUAGCCCCGAAAGAUAUCCCUAAUAUGGCCAUCAUUAUACCGUUUUGACUAUGAGUUCAACUUCACAUCUUUUGGUUUGUGCAAUGCCGUGCAAACAUUUCAACACUUCAUGGACGAAUUUACCAGAGACCUCAAUUUUUGUUGCAUAUUUAUCAGUGACAUACUCAGUGUCCCAAGACAAAUAGAGAAUAUCGCAUCUACUUACCAAACAUCUACAACACUUACGCAAAUUGUUUACCAGACUUUGCAACUAUGGAGUCAUAAUCAAUACAUCAAAGUGUGUAUUUUGCAAACACAAAGUGCAAUUCCUUGAGUAUCUAUCCAACCCAAAAGGAAUUUGUCCACUAUUCAGAUAGAGGAGACUCAUUCUGUCAUCAGUCACGAAUUAAAAGACAAGAAAUCUAUCUGUUCAAGAAAUGGACUGUGUUUUAGCGUGUUAUUACAAGCUUAAAGCACAGGUUGCAAAGCUAUGGAAAGUGUUGUCAAAGUCAGGGAACAUGAAAUUAUAAAGUUACAGGCCAGUAUGGAGGAGACUUGCAUACAUUGAACAGAACUUGGAUCUUGUCUAAAGCAACUUUAGAAUAAACUUGAUCAAUUAACGAAGAUCCAAGAAGAAGAAGUUUAUCGGGUGAUGUUGAGCCAGGUCAAUCAUGAGAAGUCAAAGCGUAGAUAAGAUAACCUCAGCAGUAGGAGAAGAGGUGCCUCAUUACCAUCAAAACAGAGAUGUUUGCCAGGAAGAAAUUGUUGAUAAAAGUUCACAGAAGAAAAUGUUAUUCUUGGCCACUCAUAACUCAUUUUCUCCGAUCAGCUGACUUAUUUCUGGUUUUAGGUCACUGAGUGGGGUUGUGAUUGUGAACAAGAUUGUUGGCUUUCUGCCCCAAAUUAUCUUGGGUCUGUGUGACUUCUACUAACUACAGAAAACAACUGGUCAUUUGGCUACUGCGGCGUGGAGUCCAUCUCUUUUAUUCUAGCGGUCAUUAGUUGGAAACCAAUCACACUAGCCCUCUAAGCUUCAGCUUUUGACUUUUCACUUUCGAACUCAUGUUUUUUAUUAUUAUUUUUGGAGUCUUGCAACAAGCUGUGGUUGUUCGUUACAGGACAGGUAUACAAUUCCGCGAACGGAAAGUUACAAACAUAAGAAAAAUACAAAAUUCAAUUAUCACACAGAAUCUUUACUUUAGGAAUCCGAACUUAACAAACUUUAUGCCUCUUUUAUACAUAAAAAAAAGGAACAGGCUUGUCCUCCACUGUCGGCAGGGUUCGUACACGUGACAACAAAAAAAUUUACUUAUAUAGCUAACUUAUAUCUAACUUAUAACUAAUGAAAAAAUAAGAACAUAGGACAGAUGAAUAUGGAAACAAAGGGUAGGGAGAAUAGAAAUACCCAGGACGGUCUUUUCCCAUGGCCCCACUCCCUCUCUUGUUAUUUUCUUAGAAAAAGUAAUCCUACCCCAGGGGCAAAAGGGGUAGGUCAGAAGGUCUUAGAAGAGAUAAAGAAACAGGAAGGAAGUAUAGGAUUAAUUCGAAGAAAAAAAGAUAUAUACAAUCUUUUUUUUUUUUUUUUUAACAACAACAAUAUAUACAAUAUCAUGGCCGACAGCCACAAAGCGUUGUUUCUGGGCACCCAAGGAUCUCUAAGGUGCUUUUCUAGUCACGGGGAUGGCAAGAACAUUGCAGUUGAGGAAGGGUACUUGACUCCUGAACCAUUUGAGCAUGCUGCAGACGAGAAGCAACCACUGGGUGGGUUUGUGACUGUGAACUUAAGACCACCAGUGGUUAAGCAGUCUUUGUACCCUGAAAAUUGGGAGUUUGGUCGUGGGUUAAUGCCUUACUUGGACAGGCAGGCAACAUGGAGUUUUCCAGGUUUACUCCACGUCUGUAAUGCCUAAAUAGUGGCCAGUUUCCCUUAAUGAGACCUCCUGGAAGACAUCCCCCCAGGCAGAUCAUCCAAGUGUUGCGUUGCCAUAACUAAACAAACAAGUGACUGUAAACUCUGUUUAGUGGAGUCAAUGGUCCAGAAGAUGAACAUGGAAAGUAUAAUUGUUCAGAUGGGAAGUCUGGAAGAGACUAUUUUGAAGGAAACAAAACAGAGAAUGGGUUAAAUUCUUGAUCUCUGUCCUGAACUCACCAUCUCUUCCAUAAAAAAUUUAAAAAAAAGAAGGAAGAAGAGAAAUUCGAGAAAACAUUACAAAGCUAUUUAGAGCACUUGACCAGAUGAUCGGAAUCAUCAAAGAGCUCAGAAAUAGCAAAAAAACACAACAGGACAAAACAGAGAUGACCACGACAUACACCAAGAUUUUAAAGCAAAGAGCAAAACCAAGUAAUAAUAGUAAAAUAAUAAACAGCGAGGAAAUGGGAUGCAAUCACGCACUCCUUCUGUAUACAACACAAAAAGAAGACAGAACACAGUCUAACAUGAUAAAAAUAAACAAAUAAAAUGCAAGCUAUCAACAGGGAGAAGACAAUAACUAAUAGUGUUAAACAUCCAAACACUGUUGAAGAUGAAGAAAUAGUGGAAAUGCUGUAUGAACAAAACGACAGCUGCUACUCGAUCCCAAAAGAAGAAUUCCUAGCAAACACUAAAACCAAUACUACAUUUAACAAAGGACUAAUCAAACCAAAUUGCAGACAUGUAGUGAUUUCUGUUUUACCAAAAAUAAGAGGCACCCUGAUAGCACAAAAAAUGUCUCAAUAUCCUUGGCAAAUAUCAGGAUUGACGACUUAAUUCCGAUAAUACGUUGCUACAGGUGUUGUGGCUAUAAUCAUCUUGUCAAAGAUUGUGAAGAUGGACAAAAAUGCUCGCACUGCUCAAAAGAGCAUAAAUACAAAGAUUGUGAGAAAAUGGAUAAACUCCCAACAUGUGCGAACUGUAGAAAAGCUAAUAAAAAAACUUCCCAAAGGUAAAAGAUGUUCAACCGAGCAUAAUGUGCUAAGUGGAGAAUGUCCAGUGACAGAAAGUAAAAACACAAGUAAUCAAUAGAAUCAAUUAUGGACUGUAAUCUGAUAAACGAGCACACUCAGUAUUACCUUCUAAACACAACACAUGGGAAAUCAAGAAAAAUAAUCACAGUGGACACCUACAAGCAAAAUGAACAAAGACUAGGAACCAAUGAUCUAAAUCUCACAAUCAUAAAAAUUUUACAGAUAAAUGCACAGAAAAGUAAAUCUGCUUGUUCUCUAAUAAUACAAACUGCAAAUGAGCUGGACAUAGAUAUAAUAGCCAUACAAGAACCAUAUACUAUAUAUAAUUAAUAACAACAAAGUGCGAUUUGGAAAUUGGCGAAUUGUACAGAACCAAAAGUGGUAUAAUAAUUAGAAAUGAGAACAUCGAACGUGCAAUGAUUCCGUAAUUAUCUAACAAAAUUUACUGCUGCAGUCAUAUAUCAAAAACUAUAGAUUUACAUAAAUGCUUAUCUCUUUCCAGAGGAGGACAAUGAAACCUGUGUCAGUGAACUAGAAGAGAUUGUAAGGAAAAUUGAUAACAAUAUAAUAAUAAUAAUAGGGGGUAUAAACACUAACUCGCAUAUUUGGUUCCACCCCCAAGAGGACAAAAGAGGAAGAAUGAUCUCUGAUAUCAUGGACAAACACAAGUUGAUUUCUGUCAAUAUGAUCAUUUUUACACUGCCUAUGCUGAAAGCCGAAACAAUAGUUUUCACCACGGAGGAAGUGGAGCAUAAAAUACAAAAUUGCAAAACUCUCCUGCUGCCCUCGGGAAGUGCCUAUCGCUAUCUCAUAACUGAAAUAAACAACUUUCAUAUUGGCACAAAGACCACUGGGAAAAAACCACAAACAACAACAAACUGGGAUUUUUUUAAAGAAAUAUUUGCCAGCAAAUGAAGAUAAUUUCAAUUCCAACAGAUAAACAAGUAUAGACUGACAAUUAUGUGACACAUAUCACCGAAGUGCAACAAACAGCUGCCAUACAAUCAACCAGAAUAAAAAUUAUCAGCACCACCAAGAAAGUGCCCUGGUAGACCAACAACUUAGAGAGACAAAAAAAACAAAUCUGAAGACUAAGGAGAAAAAUGGUAAGAAACAGUAACAAAGACAGGCAGCAACAACUAAAGAAUGAAUAUAGACAGGCAUUAAAAGAGAUUUAAAAGAAUAAUAAACAAGACACAAUCUAAGAGUUGGCAGGAGUUUUGUGGAAAGAUUAUACAAAAGACCCCUGGAAUGUUCCCUUCCAAGUUGCAUUUCAAGGAAGGAAGAAAGUACAUGUACUGCACAAAACCAAUGAGAGUUUUGAUUAAAACAGCUUUGAUAUCACUCAGAAUAAAAAGACAAUAUUAGACUAUCACUUCCCCAGCAACAAUCUGAAUACUGACACAGACAUUCACAGGGAAAUCAGAGUCGAUCACAGUAGCUCUCAAACCCAUACAAAUAAUGACAUUCUCUUCUCUUUUAGGAUUGGAUGGAAUUUCAACAGAAAUGGUGAAGUCUGCAUACACAAGUCCCAAUUGCCUUUGUCUCUCUUUAUAAUGAAUGUCUCAAAAUAGACUACUUCCCUGACAAUUGGAAGAUAGCAAACAUUCCUGAGCAAUUCACACCCAUCAGUUUACCACCAGUACUUAGAAAAUUUUUGGAUGAGAUAAUAAUAGAAUAUACCACCACCUCUAGAAAAAUGACAAACUUAACGAACAGCAGUUUGGCUUUAGACAAGGGCAGUCAACAAUCCAAGCCACUCUCUGGGUAAAAGACUUUAUAACAAAUGCAUGGGAGAAGGGAGAACAUGCCAUGAUAAUUUCUGUUCAUUUUAAAAAAGAAUUUGACUACCUGUGGUGGCCGAACUUAUUUAAAAGACUUAAUGAGACAGAAUACCCUGCAAAAAUGCAAGAAAUACUUAGGAAUUAUUUACAUAACAGAAAAGCAGGCUACUUCUCUAAUAACAUCAACAUUAUAAAGCAGGUUGUCAGGGAAUGCCCUCAGGUCUUGAGAAGUGGACCAGGCAUUUGACAGCUGUUCACUGUUAGAAAAAUACAACCAAACAGCAAGAGCAAAGAUACUGGCAUUUGCAGAUGAUGUCAUUCUAAUGAUAGCAAACAAGAAUUGAAAUAGGCUAGCAGAGGAAGGAAACAAAGCCUGGAGAAGAUAAACAAGUGGAGUCAAACACAUAAAUUGGAAAUAAAUUAUAAAAAAUGUGAGAUCCUAGUGUGUUCAAAAAAAUUUGGAAGAGGACAACUUAAAAAAACAAAUUGACAUAAAUGUCAACAGAAACAAAAUAAAAAAUGUGAACAAAAUGAGAUACCUGAGCAUCUUUUUUGGUGGGGAACUCAGCUGGAAAGGACAAAAUUCACCAAAAAUGCUUGAGAAAAGCAACACACACAUGCAAAUUUCUAGAAAUGUCUGGGGCUUCAACCAUUAGUCAUCAAGAUUGGUGAUUGAACCUGUGCUUUUAUACAGUGUACAGGUGUAAGGCGAAUCAGCAAACAAAAUUGAAACAAAAAGAAAACUACAAUGAAUUCAAAGGAAAUACAUGAUAAACAUUUGUAAGGCUUACAGAACGACCCCAACUGAUGCAUUGUUGGUUCUAGUAAAUAUCUUUCCAAUAGACCUCAGGGUCAAAUAACUCAUAUGAGAAUGAUCCCUAAUAAAGGAAGAUGUUAACAGCUUAAACAACAAAGAAACAGAAGGCAAAAUCAAGAAGGGAAAUUAUCGGAAUUGGUGAACUCAUUCAAGAAAUAAAGGUAAACCAACUGGAAAAAGUAACAAAAAACCUGGGUCAUGUUCAGUAACGCAGAACAAGUUAGAAUUCUGAGUGGCUUAGUGGGCGGAGCUAAGAAUGUUCUGAGCAUCAUUGAACGACUAUUCUUUGUUAGACAACUAGGUAAAAUGGUGGAUGAAGUGAAAAUUAUUAUUGUAACAAUUGUCGCAAACAAACUAGCCAAAAAUGAUGAAAUAACAAAUAUAAUUAUUCAAAUGGAAGCUAUGUCAGAUCAUGACAAAAUGAAGUAAUCAUUAAAUUUAAUCAAGGAAAUGGACUGUUAUCAUCCGUUAAAAUGUAUUUGGAAUCUAUUAUACCAACAUUUGAUGAUUUUACAUUCCAAAGUCAUUUUAGAAUGAGUAGACAUUCAAUCCUAAAACUUCUAGCAUUUGUUCAGGAUGAUGAUCAAACUUCUGAAACAGAUGGUAUAGGGAAUAACUUAACUACAAUUCCAGUUAUUAAAAAAAUUCUUAUAACUAUAUGAUAUCUUGCUAAUCAAGGAAGUUAUAGACAGAGUAUGGAAAAGUACUGCUCAAUACAUAAUUUCUGCUAUUUCUACUAGUGAUUCGUCGACACUUAUUUGUUGAUGAGGAGUAUAAUGAUGUCGGAACACCCUAUUUGCGUGAUCCUCCAAAGGUUGAUAUCAUGCAGAGGCAUUAUAACCUAAUUCCCUUGAGCCAGGUGACUUACUAUUAUCCAUGAGAUGGAAGAAUUGAAGCAACUGCAAUAGCAGUACCUACUACAAAUUUCCGCAUACCACGUAUGUAUGUAGGGAGGAAGAGUGGACCAGUAAUCUGAUAUUUUUGGUCUUCUGUCAAUUCCCAUUGCAAAAACAAUAGCCAAAAACCCCUUUAUAUCUUUAAUAGUGACUGGUUUCCACAUCAGAUAUUUGGGAACAUUCUCCCCCAUGCCAAUUAUAACUUGCUUGGCAUACCUAUUAGUUUCCGUCACCAUAAGGGAAAGUAAAGUAAAAGUGAAAAAAAUGUUAAAAUAUUCUACAGGAUGAGAAUCAGGAGGAGGCUGGGGAAAGAAGCGGGUAGAGAUGGUUCUGGUGGCAGAACCUCAAGGUACACCUCAUCUUCCAACUCGUCAUCAGAAAGCUGAAUGGAGGAUGGUCCAACAUAUGAGGUGGUAGGCCCGGUGAACGACGUGGAUGGCCCGGCGGAUGACAUGGAUAGCCCAGCAGAUGGUGAAGAAGGUCCCGCAGCUUCUUCAAAGUGAUGUUGAAGUUCUGGAAUACAGGCAUCUUCUUCGUCGUAAUCUGAAUAAAAAUCCCUGUAUUCCGGAACUUCAACAUCACUUUGACUGUCAUCACUGUCAGACUCAAUGUCUCUGAGACUGACAACUCGUUGUCAAAGUAUGCUGACACUUCUGUUUCUUUAAUUUUUUUUGUUGCAGACAUACUGUAUUCGGAAAUUAAUUUGAAAUAAAAGAUACAUGUUACAAUUGAGAAUAACAGUAAAAAA